CGUGGUCCCACCAGGCUUUUGUUGUUCUGACCUGAAGCCUCAGGGAUGCGGCGAGCUCUCCCUACCGACUUUCUCUGGGCUCGCUUUCUUCUGAGCCCCAGCGGUCGGGGUCUUCAAACGUGCUUCGGUCUGCGUGCCGAGGCGCAGGCUCCGUGCGCUGCAUGCAGCGCGCGCCUAGCUCUGCGUGGGACCAGGCCCCCGCGCUGCCCGGAGAGCGCAGAAGUUGGCUCCCGCCUGUGAGAACUCUGCGUUAAGCGCUGAACCAUUUUGGCCACCUGCCUAACUAGCUCCAGUGUGCGGAGGCUGCUUGAGGAACAGGAGGAGCCCUUGCGGGACGUCGGGAGGGUUUCCGCAGUCGACAAGAGAAGGAGGUUUCCUGAGCUCCAGCGCAGCGGUGGAGGAACACGAGGCAGGGGAGGGUCUGCAGUCCUGAGCGAGCUCGGUUUUCAGGGCAAGUCUGAAUUCCACCUGGGACGAUCGGGAAGCCAGGGCAGGCUGGGAGAGGCAGAUGUGCUUUCUGCAUGAAAUCCCAACACAUGACCCGGCCAUCGGCCAAGCGGCUCUCCAGUGAAGCCCGCAAGCUGUGUUCCUUCGCUGUAGACAGCCCUGUUUUUCCGUGCGAGCCGGCGAGCGUGCGUAUGACUAACUGCUCCUGGGUGGUGUUUAUCAGCCUCAGCAGCUGUCGGCAAAUUCAACCUAUACGGCAGGAAACAAGAGAAGCCUGUCUCGCGCCUGCUUCGUUGCAAACGCUUUCUGGGUUUUGGACUGCUCAGCCUCAGAUGGGACUCUGCAUACUUUUCAUCAGCUGAAAUCAGCAGUCAAGCUGGCAAAAAAAAAGCACUGCUUUUUUUCUUUUUUCUUUUUUGGCCCUGUUCUGGUGCGGCGCUGGUGCCUGUUGCGCCUGGGUAGCUGCUGUCUCAAGGCAGCGAUAGCACCACGGCUGCUCGUUGGGAGGUGG
This 958-nucleotide long non-coding RNA is filed under the name Struthio camelus australis. Its description in RNAcentral is "lncRNA (ENSSCUG00000012956.1)". Lineage: Eukaryota; Metazoa; Chordata; Aves; Struthioniformes; Struthionidae. The record is from RNAcentral.